UGGUAGAUGCACCCUGAUUGAUAUCCUCGGCUAAAUAGUCUCGGCUGAGGAUUUUUUUU
Limnothrix rosea is the source of this 59-nucleotide small RNA. It matches the Rfam family "Nitrogen stress-induced RNA 1". The record is from Rfam. Lineage: Bacteria; Bacillati; Cyanobacteriota; Cyanophyceae; Pseudanabaenales; Pseudanabaenaceae.